GCCUAGCUCAGUCAGUAGCGCAUGAGACUCUUAAUGUCAGGGUCGUGGGUUUAAACCCCACGUUGGGCG
This 69-nucleotide transfer RNA is filed under the name Pangasianodon hypophthalmus (striped catfish). RNAcentral describes it as "tRNA-Lys". The record is from RNAcentral. Lineage: Eukaryota; Metazoa; Chordata; Actinopteri; Siluriformes; Pangasiidae.